GCCUGGCUGGCUCAGUCAGUAGAACAUGUGACUCUUGAUCUUGGGGUCAUGAGUUCAAACCCCAUGUUGGGUA
RNAcentral lists this transfer RNA (73 nucleotides) under Canis lupus familiaris (dog). It matches the Rfam family "tRNA". From Rfam's summary of the family: Transfer RNA (tRNA) molecules are approximately 80 nucleotides in length. Lineage: Eukaryota; Metazoa; Chordata; Mammalia; Carnivora; Canidae. The record is from Rfam by way of RNAcentral. RNAcentral also lists the same sequence under 1 other name.